RNA transcript from Loxodonta africana (African savanna elephant), 31872 nucleotides. It is a transcript of the gene named sorting nexin 29, with no coding region annotated. The transcript is spliced from 22 exons. The record is from RefSeq and is a predicted model, not a curated record. NCBI's taxonomy places the organism in Eukaryota, Metazoa, Chordata, Mammalia, Proboscidea, Elephantidae.
ACUGGGUGAGAGCUCAUGCCUGGUGACUUCCUGCCCAGCACUCCUUCCACUGCUCAGGGCCAUGGGACUCUCUGGUCACCUCCAGCAGUUGGAUCACAGAACAAUGAUACGAAAAGACAGUUUUUGCUGGAGCGACUGCUAGAUGCGGUAAAACAGUGCCAGAUCCGCUUUGGAGGGAGAAAGGAGAUCGCCUCAGAUUCUGAUAGCAGGGUGACUUGCCUCUGUGCCCAGUUUGAAGCCGUCCUGCAGCAUGGCUUGAAGAGGAGUCGGGGAUUAGCACUCACGGCGGCAGCGAUCAAACAGGCAGCAGGCUUUGCCAGCAAAACCGAGACAGAGCCUGUGUUCUGGUACUAUGUGAAGGAGGUCCUGAGCAAGCAUGAGCUGCAGCGCUUCUACGCCCUGCGCCACAUCGCCUCGGAUGUGGGCCGCGGCCGUGCCUGGCUGCGCUGCGCCCUCAAUGAGCACUCACUGGAGCGCUACCUGCACAUGCUCCUGGCCGACCGCGGCAGGCUCAGCACUUUUUACGAAGACUGGUCUUUUGUGAUGGAUGAAGAGAGGUCUAGCAUGCUCCCUACCAUGGCAGCUGGUCUGAACUCCAUACUCUUUGCAAUUAACAUCGACAACAAGGAUUUAAACGGGCAGAGUAAGUUUGCUCCUACCGUCUCAGACCUCUUAAAGGAAUCAACGCAGAAUGUGACCUCCUUGCUGAAGGAAUCCACGCAAGGAGUGAGCAGCCUUCUCAGGGAGAUCACAGCAUCCUCUGCUGUCUCCAUCCUCAUCAAAUCAGACCAGGAGACUGACCCCCUGCCUGUCCUGUCCAGGAACGUCAGUGUCGAUGCCAAAUGUAAAAAAGAACGGAAGAAGAAAAAGAAGGUGACCAACAUUAUCUCAUUUGAUGACGAGGAAGAUGAGCAGAACUCUGCUGACGUGUUCCCAAAGAUCCCUGCGGCGGGGGAGAGCUCGGAGGACAACUCCGACCGCUCCUCAGCCAACAUCGUGACGGCCUUCGAAAGCUCCUUUGGGCCAAACUCCAACGGAAGCCAGAGCAGCAGCUCAUGGAAAAUUGACUCUCUGUCUUUGAAUGGGGAGUUUGGGUACCAGAAGCUUGAUGUGAAAAGCAUCGAUGACGAAGAUGUGGAUGAAAACGAGGACGAUGUGUACGGAAACAUGCCGGGAAGGAAGUGCACGGGCCACUCAGAGUCGCCUGAGAAGCCUCUGGAUGGGAACCCCUGCCUCUCUCCGGUGCACAGCUGGGCCCCGCUGCAGGUGCUGCAUGGUGACUCGGAUGUCCUCUUUCCUGUCAGUGGAGUGGGCUCCUACAGCCCAGCAGGUGUCCCUGCUGGAAGCCUGGAGAAUGGGACAGGCCCGGAGGAGCACGGCCUCACUAACCCUGGGAGCAGGUACAGUGUGGAAGCCAGUCCCCCAGGCCAAGGAAGUCCUCUGAGCAGCCUGUUGCCUUCUGCCUCGGUCCCAGAGUCAAUGACAAUUAACGAACUGCGACAAGCCAUCGUGGCCAUGAUGAAUAGGAAAGAUGAGCUGGAAGAAGAGAACAGAUCUCUGCGGAACCUGCUUGAUGGUGAGAUGGAACAUUCUGCUGUGCUCCGGCAAGAGAUGGACACGUUGAAAAGGAAAGUGGCCGAGCAGGAGGAGCGGCACGUAGAGAAGAUUCAGGCGUUGGCCAGAGAAAACGAGGUACUCAAAGUUCAGCUGAAGAAAUAUGUAGGAGCUGUCCAGAUGCUGAAAAGAGAAGGCCAAACUGCCGAAGUUGUACCACAUCUUUGGAAUGGUGAUGGAGAAGUUACAGUCACCGACCAGAAGCCGGGAGAAGUAGCGGAAGAACUAGCAAGCUCAUAUGAAAGAAAGCUCAUAGAGGUGGCAGAGAUGCAUGGCGAGCUGAUUGAGUUCAACGAGCGCCUGCACCGAGCCCUGGUGGCCAAGGAAACCCUGGUGUCACAGAUGAGGCAGGAGCUCAUUGACCUUCGAGGGCCGGUGCCUGGAGAUUUGAGUCAAACAUCUGAAGACCAGAGUUUGUCGGAUUUUGAAAUAUCCAACCGGGCGCUGAUCAACGUCUGGAUCCCCUCGGUGUUCCUCCGGGGCAAAGCAACAAAUGCGUUCCACGUGUACCAGGUUUACAUCCGGAUAAAGGAUGACGAAUGGAAUGUCUAUCGGCGCUAUACGGAGUUCAGAAGUUUGCACCACAAGCUACAGAACAAAUACCCUCAAGUGAGGGCCUACAACUUCCCACCCAAAAAGGCCAUUGGAAACAAGGAUGCCAAGUUUGUAGAGGAACGGAGGAAGCAGCUCCAGAAUUACCUGCGCAGCGUCAUGAACAAAGUCAUCCAGGUGGUCCCAGAGUUUGCGGCCAGCCCCAGAAAGGAGACCCUCAUUCAGCUGAUGCCCUUCUUUGUGUGAGAGACUGGAGUCUCAGGAAACUUGGAUGAUGUGUCUGAGUUCAUUCCGAGAUGAACUUGAAGGCAGGUUGAGACUCUGCUCUGCUGCUCUGAGAUGCUGGACACUGAGCGGCACGAUGUCCUUCUCCAGGGAUUGGUCCCUCCUGAUAACAUGUCCAAAGUGAGAUGAAGCCUCGUCAUCCUCUCUUCUAAGAAGCAUUCUGGCUGUACUUCCUCCAAGACAGAUUUGUUCAUUCUUCCGGCAGUCCGUGAUAUAUGCAAUAUUCAUUGCCAGCGCCAUGAUUCAGAUGUAUCAAUUCUUCUUUGGUCUUCCUUAUUCAUUGUCCAGCUUUUGCAUGCAUAUGAAAAAAAAAAGAGGCAAUUGAAAAUACCAUGACUGGGGUGAUGCACACCUUAGUCCUCAAAAUGACAUCUUUGCUUUUUAAUACUUUAGAGGUCUUGCAGCAGAUUUGCCGAACGCAAUACAUCAUUUCAUUUCUUGACUGCCGUUUCCAUGAGCAUGGAUUGUCUAUCCAAGUAAAAUGAAAUCAUUGGUAACUUAAUAAAGAUUACAGUCUGGAAAACCCUACAGGGCAGUUCUGCUCUGUCCUGUAUGGUCGCUGUGAAUCAGAAUUGACUCCAAGGUGCACAACAAGAACAACAUGCCCUGGUGGGCGGCCCCCCUGACUCGUUUGUGAUCCUUCAGCAUCUUACUUAUAGACUCUUGGCACCUUCCCAAAGUCCCGCAUCAACAGAGCCACCAAACACCCCACAUUUAUACCUGUCAACUGUGGGAACAUGGCAGACCUGCCUGUAGGGUUUAGGCAAGCCAUAUAAGUGGAUAGACCCAUUGAGGAGUGACAAUAGGGAGCAUGUAGAGUGGAGCUCACAGGCCCCAUCUACAGGGGUCAGCCACCACUCACCCCAGUUGGUUGUUGCUAUGAGACUGUGGGUUUCCAGGUCUUCAAUUUUUUCAAGAGAUGGCAGAAACUCACAUUUGUAUAUAAAAUCUUCUGAUUUUUAAAUGUUGACAACUGAUAGGAGCUGUGGUGACACAAUGGUUAAGCACUCACCUCCUAACCAAAAGGUCAGCAGUUUGAACCCACCAGCUGUUCUGUGGGAGAAAGAUGUGGCUUUCUGCUUCCAUAAAGGUUGUAACCUUGGAAACCUUAUGAGGCAGUUCUGCUCUGCCCUAUAGGGGCAGAAUUUGACUCAGUGGCAACGGGUUUGGGUUUUAAUGUUUGUGGGCAAAUAAAACAUGUCUGUGUGCUCCACGUGACCCAUAGUGCAGGGCAAGAAGGGACUGCUUUAGAUGAAUCUGUUUACACAAGAAGAAGUACAGGAGGAGGAAAACAGACAGCAACCUACUCAAUGGGGACAAUAACAGCAAGAUAUUAACCAGGGCAGAUAUGACAUCAGGCCUCAGGACAGACUGACUCCUGCAGUUCUGUCUGAGGUCCCCUUAAUAGUUUGGGCCCAGUGAGAGCUGAGUGUAUCAGAUCUAGCCUGAGAAGCUGGUCAGUUAUGGGAGCACCAAGCAGCAGGUGUCCAACUCAGCAUCCAAGUACAUGUCCAUCUUCCUCUGUGGGGAAGUUUCCGUGUUCCCAAAGAGGGCCCUGUUUUCUGACCAGCCAAUGGUCCACUCCUCUGGGCGAGGUGCCUGCCGGAACUCUCUACAUCUUCUUGAUGGCAGUUCUUUUGGUUUCUCGUCAUCUUCACAAUAGCCACUGACGAGCUUGGUCACCUGUAAAAAGAACACAGCCAGUCAUUACUUGGUUCUCUUAGCAGCUCACCAAGAAACAUGGCUGUUUGGAGGGCAGUUGUAUCUAUUCAAGGAAUCUGGUCACAGGUUAUUAGGGUUGAAAAGACUGAUAUUCUCCCCUGUUGAAUUCAGAAAAUGUACCUGAAGGACUUCCUUGCAGAGCAGUUAUUAUAGGACUUUUUUUAUGCUUUUGUACUGUUCUGACUUUUCCUCUCCCUCACUGGCCAGUGUCCUAUUAAGCCUCAGUGGGUUUCCUUGUACCUCUGACCCCAUGCUUCUCAUCCAGGUGCUAUUUUACUUUCCUCCCCUGCCCCGGGGACAUUCAGCUAUGAAUGGAGACAUUUUUGGUUGUGCCAACUAGCAGGAAGAGGAGAGUUGUUACUGGCAUCUGGUGGUUAGAGGCCAAGGAUGCUGCUAAACAUCCUACAAUGCACAGAACAGCCCCCACCACAAAGAAUUAUCCCACCCAGAUGUUAAUAGUGCUGAGGUUGGGAAACCCUGAUCUAGCCUGAGUAGCUGGCCAGUUAUCGGAUAAUCGGCUACAAAUCCCUCUGGCUCCAUGGCCAAGAAAGAGAUGGGGAGAAGAAACUGUAUCACCUACUGGGUGCCAAGUAUUAGACCAGGAGCUUUUCUUUGGUUAAGAGCUCAGCUGCUAACCAAAAAGCCGGCAGUUCGAAUCCACCAGCCACUCCUUGGAGACCCUAUGGGGCAGUUCUACUCUGUCCAGUAGGGUCAUUAUGAGUCGGAAUCGACUCAACGGCAGUGGAUUUUUUUAAUCUACUCACGGAGGCUGGUAUUAUUGUUCGUCAGAGAGUGAGGUGGUUUAUCCAUCAUCACAGAGCUGGGACAGUGUGGAGGGGGGAUGUUAAGCUGAGUUUAUAUGGUUUGGAAGCCUUACUCUCUUAACAUUAUAUUGGAAUGAAGCAUGUGAUAGAGCACUCCUACAUAGCUUUGGCAAAUUCCAUGUCCUAGAUAUUUCAUCAUGGGUGCCCUGUGCCCUAGGAAAUGUUGCUUGGGCUUCUUCAUACCCAUCUUUGGCCACUCUGCCUCUCCUCAUGAUUCUCUGGGUAUUGUUGGCUAUGGCCAUUGGCUUUCAACCCCGUGCCUGCUAUAGCCUCUCCUUUUCUAGAUGUUAUGGUGGCACUGGUUAGUGCUGUCUAAGGUUCUACCCACCUCCACCUCUUUGGGGUUAACUUCUGAAGUAAAUGUUGCAGAAGGGGCUGGAAAAUGAGGCAGGGGAGGGUUGAGGAACUUCUGAAGGCUUUGACCCAGUUGAGAAAAGUAGUAGCCUUAGACACCUGAUCAACACCUACUACCAACCAGCCCAUCCCAUUCCUAGUUGGUUCACACACCAGUCACAGGCCCUUCUUUUUCCCCAUUAACCUCAUACGCCCAGUGUGUGCUAAGGGAACUAGAGAGCAGGAUGAACAAAGACCCAGUUUUCUCUUGGGAACACACUGAUUUGGGCACACAGUCUGCCGGCUUGGGAAGCAUUACUCAGAAGAUAAAGCAGGUCAUGGAUUGCUGAGUAGGACCAGGAUUCCGUGUUUUUAUUUCUCUUUUUCACACACGAGAACUUGCUGUGACAGCGUUGUGGAUGUUUUCCCCAUUAGCUUGCCCUGGGAAGGCAGGUUGAGAAAUUACUAAAGCAACAGGAAACCAGCCAUUCAGUUAGGCAGUGGGGCCAGGCCUGGUUUAUGACUUUCACAUGAAAGGUAUAACUGGCUUGACCCCAGGCUCUGCCAUUGACUAGCUCAAUGAUCUUGGAUUAGGCCCUUUAGGACUUUGUGCCUCAGUUUCCUCAUCUGUAAAAUGGGACUAAUAAUAGGCCCUACCUCAUAAGAUUGAUUCCAAGAUUGAAUGAGGUAAUGCAAAGCAUUUAACACAGGGCACAUAGUAAGCACUUAGUGGUUAACUGGAGUGGAGGGGGGUGGUCCCUGGCAGUGCAAGCAGUUAACACACUCAUCUCGUAACCAAAAGGUUGGAGGUUAAAGUCUACCCAAAGGGACCUUGGAAAAAAGGCUCGACAGUCUACAUCCGGAAAAUCAGCCACUGAAAACCCUAUGGAGCAUGGUUCUACUCUGACACACUCGUGGUCCCCAUGAGUCAGAAUCAAUUCUACAGCAGUGGGUAGCAAUGGUAGUUCAGCUGUGGCUGCAGUAAUAAUAAUGGUUGCUUUCAUUGUUUGCAGGUAUAUACACAGCUGAUUCUGGCAUUCCUUAGAACCAGGGCAAAUCUUGGAGUUCUGACGUUUUCCAGGCAUGAGAGAUACAGGCGCGUACAGCAAGCACGUGCACUGGGGACAUUUAGGAGACAGAGUAGAGAUGUCUACUUGUGUUUGUGAGCCUUGGUCACACCUUUCUGUCCCAGACAUCGGCCAGGUUGAUCAGGGAGGCUGGGGCUCUGUCACCUUGUCAAGACAAAGGUGUCAUCUCCAUGGAGGGGCCCUAAAUCACUGGUCCAGAGGCCAGGCUGCAGAGAAUCAGGUCCCUCAAAAUGGCCCUGCAGACCCUCUUUUCACCUCAGUUGACAGCUCAGUGUGAUGAGUAGUCAGAUUUCAUUAUUAUAAAUAGAUAAGCCAAAACUGUUAUUAGUUUCUUGUAGGAUUUAACCAGCAACCUGGUACAAGUUGAAAGAGCAAGGCUUUGAGUCAAACAGACCUGGGUUCAGAUAGCAGCUCUACAGCCUAAAAGCUUUGCGACCUUGCCCUCUUUGGGCCUCAGUGGCCCCGUCUGUAAAAUGGAGCCAGUAGCACAGACCUCAUAGGCUUGUCAAAAGGCUAAGCACCUAGUAGGAGCUUCUCAGAGGGAAGCUAUUUUCGUUCCCAUUGCAUUUCUCUUCUUUGUUCAGACUCUCACUUCAGUCCCAAAAUGAUUUGAAUUGGCAGCUUAGAUAUUAUUACAAUCGCUUGCCCUACUUCAGGUCUUUUAUUUUUAAACAUUGGAGCAUCUCAGAAUUCAGUUUGGAGGAAAGGAAGCAGAUUAGGUUAUUUCUGGCAUAAUAACCUGCAUCCCAUUUGGGGUUAGUAAGGAAAUAAUAAUAAUAAAAUUUCUCUGAUCCCAGGGAGGUGAGGCCACAACAUGUAAAGAGACUGCCCUUUGCAGAAUGAACUCUCAGGUCCUACCAAAUUAUGCCCCAUCUCGGUGCUACCUUUCUUCUCAGGAGGUCAAGUAGUUACACAGCUUCUGGCAUUUCCCCAUGCACUGUUUAAAUGGUGUCUAUAGAAUGAUAGGAGCCCUGAUGGCACAGUCGUUGAGUGCUUGGCUGCUAACUGAAAGUUCAGUGGUUAGAACAUGCCUCUCUGCAGGAGCAAGGUAUGGCAGUCUGCUUCCAUAAAGAUUACAGCCUUGGAAACCCUAUGGGGCAGUUUUACUCUGUCCUAUAGGGAUGCUAUGAGUCAGAAUCAACUCGACUGCAGCGGGCUUAGUUUUGGUUUUAUAGGAUGAUAACUGAUAAUGGUUAUUAUAUUGAGUGAUGUGUUGGCUAUCUAUUGCCAUGUUGUUGUUGUUAGGUGCCUUCGAGAUGAUUCCAACUCAUAGUCACCCCAUGUGACAGAGUAGAACUGUCCCAUAGGGUUUCUAAGCUAUAAUCUUUGUGGAAGCAGAUCACCAGGUCCUUCUCCCGUGGAGCCGCUGGGUGAGUUCAAACUUUCAACUUUUAGUUUAGCAGCUGAGCACUUAACCGUUGCACUACCAGGGCUCCUUAUUGCUACGUUAAUGCUGUGUAAGAGACAGACACAAUACCUUGGUGUUGUAUAGCGAUAAUAUUGUGCAGCUUACACAUCAAGUGAUGGGCUAGGAGACUCUGCUGAUCUUGGCUACAUUCACAUAUCUGGGGUUCAGCUGGCUGUCGCCUGAUCUAGGAUGGCCUUGGCUGGGCUGAAUGGAGCUGUGCUCCACACAUCUUUCAUCCUUCUCCAGGACCAGUGGGCUGGCCUGGGUAUGUGGCAGUGAGCAAGAACAGGGAUGGCUGCAGCACAAAGGCAUUGUCCAGGCUGAUUAUGUCACAUUGGUUAACAUCCCAUUGGCCAGAGCAAGUCACAGGCUGAGGCCACAGUCAGAGUGGGAGGGCCCUGCAGAGUUACAUGGCAGAGCACAAGAUCCAUUUCCUUGUUUGUAAAAUCAUCUAGUAAAGCAUCUGGACGCAAUAGGUACUCAAAAAAUGCUAAUGAUCAAGCCUCUCAAAGUCCCAGAAGCACGGUACAUAUGGUUAGGACUCUCUGGUUUGCAAAAUUAUAAAAGCCCAAUUCCAACUUGCUUAAGCUGAAAAGGAGUAUUUAUUAGCUCAUGUGACUAUAAAGUCUAAGAUAGGGCUAGCUACAGGAAUGGCUGGUUCCAGACGUUCAAAUAAUGUCAACAGGGUGAUUGAUGCUGGCUUCGUUCUCAAGCAUGCUCUCUCUGUCUGGUGGAAAGAUGGCCCCUGGCAGCUAUAGGCCUUUAAGGGCCUUAUAGAUCCAGGUCCCAAAGAAUGGGCACCCUUCCCACUAGCUCUAGCAAAAGUUCUAGGGGAGAUUCUGAUCUGCCACAUAUUUCCUGGUAACUCCAGCAAAAAUUCUAGGUAACAUUCUUAUCGGCCCAGCUAUGGGCCAUCAGCUCAUCUCUAAGCCAAUGACUGUGGCCCAGGGGACAGAGUACUGGGCCAAGGGAGAGGAACAGUCAACCCAUCUAAACACAUGAUUAUUGUAGAAGGAGGGGUGACGGUUCCCUGAUAGAAGAGAUGGUGGGUGGACAGACAGUGGUCGAUUCUGCAGGGUCUGUUGUUCAGCUGUCAGCAAAGCCAACUGUCGUGGCAAGUUUUUGUGCAAGAAGCUUGUGACACCUUUGGCCCUGCCUUCCAUGCUCACUGAGUCAGAGAUCAUGCUUCUGUGGAGGAACUUUUACUCUCCCCAGCUCGUCAUUUCGAAUGCACUGGGAAGUGCCUUAACAGUCCCUAGCAGGCGUCAUCUGUCUCAGACAUGUUUCCAGCCUAUAUCUGGCAAGGCAGCCUUAUUUGUAAAAUAUUAACCACGAUGAAUUACUGAGGUUUGGGGUUACAGUGGGUUUAAUUGGGGUGGUAGAGUAGAUUUUCCAGGAUCUCUCUACUGAUGUAUCUUUCUCCCAGCCAGUGGGUUAGACACUGGAGGGACAGUCUUCAUAUUUGGAAGACGGAAGUAUUUGAUGGAAAGUCAUCUCACCAUGCCCGUCAUCCUGCAGCGUCAGAGUGUCAUCCUGACACGGAAGAAGAGCAGAUCCAGAGACAGGGGAAGGAGUAGCUGAGGCCACACCAUGAGUCAAGAGCCGAGGCCUGGACUCUGGACUACCUCUGACUUGCCACAUUCCAGAGCCGCAGGAAUCACUAUUGCUCAUAUCAGCAGAAGGCAAAGAUCUUUCAGCAGGUUCGGUUCCCGAAGGCCGUCGUGCAAAAUAAGACCAUGGUCCUAAAAAAAAAAAAAAAAAAAAUGGUCCUAGAACUUGAAAAUAGGGCUUGGUCGUUCCCAAGAGCACGUGGCAGGAGGGAAGGGAAAACGUACCUCAGCCAGAGGCUGGGAAACAGACACCCCGCUUCCUGACCACGCCCAGAUGGCAGGCCCUGGUCACACACAGCACGACCUUAGCGCUCUAUGAAAACUGCUUUGGGGUCAUCAGGGGGCGGGCUGUCUCCUGACCUCAGGUAGGAUUUAGGAAGGAGGACCAUGUAGUCACAAGUUAGCAAACCUCAAAAGACUGUCAAAGGUGAGGACGGCUGAUAAUGUGGGCUUGUCUGGUGAAUCAUUAAGGAUCUGCCCUUCUGUGGAGACUUUACGCUUUCUACCUCUGCUUGUUCUGGAAAGGCCGGUCUCCUUGUUGAGGCCCUCAGUGGAAUUAUAUGUCUUAAGAACAUUCUCCUGGAAUAUUCCAUUGAGGGAUUUGUUUGUCAGCAUUUAUUAAACAGUUGCCAGUGGUUAAAUGCUCGGUACUAACCAAAAGGACGGCAGUUCAAACCCACUAAGCACUGUGUGGGAGAAAGAUGUGGCAGUCUGCUUAGGUAAAGAUUUACUGCCUUGGAAGCCCUAAUGGGCAGUUCUACUCUGUCCUACAGGGUCACUGUGAGUUAGAUCAACUCGAUGGCAGUGGAGUUGGUUUUGGUUUAGUAAUGACUCGGUGCCAGGCCCUGGGACUAGCAGUCUUGUGCCUGACCCCUUUGAGAGAGGAACCACUUCAUGAUCUUGUUUAAUAGCUUUGUGAACAUGGGUGAGCCACACUCGGCCUCAGUUAACUCCUCUAUGAAAUGGGCACAAUCGCUGAGGGUUGAGUGAGAUGAGUGCAGGUAAAGCCCUUGCCACACAGGCGGGCACAGGGUCAUGUUCUGGAUGGGUGGACUUGAAGUCAAGGUGCAAGGGAAAAAGGAAGACUUACAGGCCCCACUUCAAGGAUCGUUUAUUUAGAAAGUAUUUGUUGAGCCCCUUCCAGAUGUCUGGCACACUGCUGGGCUCUGGGGAGCUUCCAGGUCAGCUUCAAGUCUCAUUGGAGGGGCAGGAGGCCCACUCCUACAGGUGGCGCAGGAGUGGACAUAAGGCAGAAGGCUAUGUCUUUCUGCCUGGCACCUCACACAGUGGUGAGAAGAUGUCACCUCAGUCGGGGGUGGCGUUAGGGGGCAACCCCUUGGCACUGCCACUGUUCGAGGAGCGAGCCAUGAGCCCUUACAUGUGGAAGGGUUUCAGUUACACUUGUUUAAGUGACACCAGUGACCCCUUAUCGCAGGAGCCUCUGUGGUCAGGCUGCCUGGGGGCAGAGGUGACAGGAGAGACUGCAGAGACACCAGCACCUCCUAGGCACCAGUGACUUCUGAGAGAAGGAAAAUCAGGAAGGGACGGAGACUCAGAGUCGCCAUUUGGGAGCAGCCCAUAUAUUUUGGGAUAUAUAUUAUUCUGACAAGUAAGGGCAGGACGUGUGCUUUGGUGGGGACCAUAGUUGAGCUCUGGUGGCACAGUGUUAAGGCUUUGGCUGCUAACCAAAAGAUCAGCAGUUCAAAUCCACCAGCCACCUCUUGGAAAUCUUACGAGGCAGUUUUACUCUGAAUCAGAAUUGACUUGAUGGCAAUGGGUUUUUUUUUUUUAUAGUUUGAAAAAAAAUUAAAAAAACAAAACACCUAAAUUCAUAGCAGCUGGAGAGAGUGGACAGUCCUGGGUUCAAAUCCCUGAUCUGUCACUCAGCUGCCUGUCCUUGGACAGUUUAUUCCCCUUGUAUUUCAUCUGCAGAAUGCGAGACGAUGGCCCGUACCUUACGGUGUGGCGGGCAGUGGGGAUUCAGACGUUGAAUACAGAGUAACCAGGCACAUAGUAGGUGCUCGACUUCGAAGAGUAAAAAUUAAUUUCUCUUUUCCAUCCAAGAAGGAUGAGUGGAAUAUAAAUACUAGAUUGAUCAAUCGGUAGUUAUCAACAAUUACAAAGAACGAGCGUAGCAACGAUUGUGAAGAUGGCGCAGGACCGGACAGUGGUUUGUUCUGUUGUACACAGGGUCCCUAGGAGUCGGAACUGACCCAAGGGCACCUAACAAUAACAAUAACGAAGAACAGGGGAGAAAACCUUUAUUUCUUAAUACAUAUAGGACCACUGCAAUUAAAGCUGUUGUUUUGACUGGGAAACCAAGAAAACAUGAUGAGAAAAUUAGAGGCAUUUAAGCAGCUACCUUCCAUGCAAGUACAUUUAUUAAAGGAAAUUUUAAAUAUAAAUGAUUAAGAAUGCCUUCAAAAUACACAAAAAUAAAGGGAUUAAAAUUAGUCUAAACACUAGACGGUAGGAUCAGGCUAGCUCGUUCCUCCCAGGGUCUCUCAGAGUUCCUGGGACACGGCACACUUCCCAGGGCAAGUCCAGGGGUGUGGCCAAAGUCACAGGUAUUUCAGUGGGGAUGCUGUGGAGGCAACCUUCUCAGUCCAUCCAUCGUCCACCCACCCGCUGACUCGCCCCUCUCUUCUACCUCCUCUCCGGUAUGCACCCACCCAUCCAGAAAGCAUAUAUUCUGCACCUAGAGUCCCUGGGUGGUACAGAUGGUUAAGCGCUCAACUACUAACCAAAAGGUUAGAGGUUUGAACCCACCCAGAAGUGCCUCAGAAGAAAGACCUGGCAAUCUGCCUCUGAAAGGUGACAGCCUUGAAAACCCUAUGGAGCAUAGUACUACUCUGUAUUCAUGGGGCCAUCGUGAGCUGGAAUCAACUCGAUGGCAGCUGGUUUGUUUUUGUUACAUUCUAGGCAUCAUUUUAGAUCACGAGAAUUGAACAGUGAAUAAAAGAAAGUCCCUGCCCUUGGGGACAUGCUAGUGGGGAAGACAGAAGUGAAAUGGACAAGUAAACACACAGUAUGUCAGAGGGUGUUUACUGGGAGAAAAAUAAAGCAGAGGAAGAUACCAAAGAGUGUGGAGAGGUCGGGCCUGGUGGGGUGUGUUAUAUAUCGUGAGGGAAGUCCACCAGGGGAGUUUGACAUCUGUGUGAAGACCUGGAGGAUCAAGCCAGGUAUCUGACCAGAGACAGCAAGUGCAAAGGCCCUGAGGCCAGUGUAUGCUCAAGCCACUUGAAAAACAGCAAGGAGGCCAAUGUAGUGGAGCUGAGUGGGCAAAGGGGAUGAGCAGAAGGAGGUGAGGUCAGGGAGGUGGUGAAGGCAGGCAGGUCACAUCUGGCUCUUACUUGGAGCAAAGUGUGGGAGCAGGGGCGGACAUGACUUACGUUCUAGAAGAAUGGCUCUGGUUGCUCUAUUGUGAGUCGAUGAUGUAGGGACCAGUACGGCAGCAGUGAGGAGACGGGGCUGUCCCCCAGGCGAAAGAUGGCAACUUGAUUGGGUGGGGAUGGUGGAGGGGUGAGCCGGUUCCUGAUGGCUCUGAGAGUUGAGCUGACGGAGUUUGCCGAUGGGUGGGAUGUGGAUGUGAGAGAAAGGUAGGAGUUGGGAUGAUGCCAAGAUUGUUGGUGUGAGGAACCGGAGGAACAGGGUUGACACUUACAAAAUGGAGACCACCAAGGCGGGUGGGGGACUGAGAGGUGGCAUAGACAUGUGAGGGCUGUGAAGUGGCCCAGUCUCAGCGGGUGUUGUCACCAACACUGUCUCUCCUUGGGCCCCUCUCUGCCUCAGUGGCACCCUUCUCAGCUUCCAAGGUAUUAACGUACCUUCCUAAGAGUAACCGUUAGUCACUGGGGCAGAGCAAGCAUGGCCUAGGUGGUUACAAGGGCACCGUGCCCACAGAGGCAGCCGGAUGCCAGGGAGGGAGCAGGAAGAACCCUGACUGGGCAGCGGAAGGGCUGGACAACGUGUUCCCUCUCCAAGCCUCAGUUUCCUCACCUCUAAAAUGGAAUAUUGUCCUAGGGAUCUCUCAGACCCUUUCCAGAACUAUCACUUGAGCAGGUGUGGGGUUUUGCAAAGAAUGAAGCGUCUUCCUCUUGUGAGAGGGAACAUGCUCACUUGCUAGAUGAGUUUGCACCAGUCUGGCAGGCUCCUCGAGGUGGCUUUGAUCCCAAAGUGGCUUCAUCUCAACCAUGUCGAGUGCUCAUUCAUUUGGGUCAACUGUGGGUCAACUGUUGCAAACACCAAACACAUGUCAUUCCAGGCUCUCCCCUGGCACACAGGCCCCCCCUGGCACAGAGGGCCUGGCAGACACCCCAGUGAAACACAGCCUCUCCAAGGCUGAGCCCAGAGGUGAUGCCAGCCAGCUCUUCAAGACCAGGCUCUCUUUGGGCAGCCACUCCAAGUUGAACAGGGUUGGCUCUGAAGAGAAAAGCAAUUGAGGAUUCUUGGAAAAUAACAAUAGUCGUGAUAAGAGUGAUGGUAGCUGUCAUUUAUUAAGAGACCGUGUGAAACACUGCCCAUGCCCUUUCUAUUCUGGCUCUCUGUCUGGUGACAGAGCUGUCAUCAUUGUUGCCAUCUUACACAGGAGGAAGCUGAAGCUCCAAACCAGGCCACCUGACUCUGGAGUACAGGCCCUCCCACUCUGCUGCAGCCCCUCUCACUGGGGCACCCCUCCGAAGUACACAGGGGCUAAAAGUAGCACCACGGCUGCAGCUCACUAUGCCUGUUCUAUAUAUAGGGCCAGGGCAGCAGAUAAAUCCUCGCAUAGAGAAACACACUAUUUUCAUGCCUGACCUAGAAAGCCCAUGGUUCUCAGGACCCAAAUGCAGAGUGCGUGGGCACUGGCCCUAGGUUGGCGUCCUUACAGACUCGCAGGACAGUGGCUACAGCAGCAGUCAGCAGCCACUGCGUGCUUACUAGGGGCCGGUUUCCGGGCCAGGGGCUUCCCUCACUCAUUUCUUCUUUAUGCGAUGCCCAGGAAGGUUGUUACUAUUUUUAUCCCCAUUUAAGAAACGAGGGCCCAGAUGGCUGAAGUACCACACCCAGAGCCCCACAAUCACUAACACGAUGCUCAUGUAGCAAGUGAUGGUUCCCCAGGCCCCUCAGCCUCUAAAUGGGGGAGCAGGGGUGUGGACCCAGGCCGUUUGCCUUCUUACCUCUGACUGUCAGUUAAAGAAGAUGAUAUAAGAGCUGAGCAUAUUGCAGGCACACAGUAGAUGCUCAGUGUGCAUGAGUGCUUGUCAGUGAGUGCCCUAAAUAAGUGCCUAAAUACUCCUAUAGGUGGGCUGGGUGGUAUGUUGGUGACAUAGGUUUGUCUCAAGGUGAUGUUCCCAUGACAUGUCUGCACCUCUGAGUCCUUCCAGAACUUCCCCGCAGCCUUGGCUGGGCCAUCCAGGGCCUGAUAGCCCAUUGGCCCAGUAAGUGGGAAGCCCAGGUGCAGGGGCAUCCACCUGGACAGGCAUGUCCCUUUAUCGAUAACAAGCCUGGCUCACGUGCUCCAGUAGGCCCUUCCCCCAGUGUCCUCUUCCCCACACCUCUCAGGCCCAGCACCCAGUAUUUCAUGGGGGUGCUGAGGGCAGCUUCCCCAAGCCAGGUCAACAGAGCACUGACAGGCAGGAUAGACAGCCCCAUGGCCAGCCACAGUGGGUCAUCCCUGCAGUGCUUCUGUCAUGUGGUCCUAGGGCCAGCAUGCUUUCCCUUGCUGACGAGGCCACUGUGGACUGUGUGCUGUGCCUGCGCUGAUGCUGGUGUGUGUGAAGUGACUACAUUUGGGUCUCCUUUGCUUUUGAGAGGGCUGAGCUGCUGACCCUGUGGAGGAAAGGGCAGGUGGGGACCCGGGCAGAGUGGGCCUGGGUUCCAGGUACCAUUUAAUCUAGCCUGAACCAACUCCUGAAUUGGGCGUAUUCCUGAAUUAGACCUUGCCUGCUGAGGCCCCUUCUCUCUCCUAGGAGAAUAUUCUCGACAUUGAUUUUCCUGUUCUGAGCUCCUCUGGGAGAAUGGUUAACCUUUCCUGAGGGGAGCAGCUGACAGUGCUUCUCCCAGGUGGCACAGAGGGUGGAGAUCCUGUCUGGGGACACCAGGGGAGGAGGCUGCAAGUGGCCCACCCACAGAGCAGAGGGAGUUGGGAAGGAGUAUGCAAAGUGCCCCCAUUUGUCUUGGGCUGGGAUUUGGGAAAAAUGAACCGAGGACCUGGGAUGCCAUCACUUCUGGCCUGUAGUGGAGUUGUGUCUUCUCUGGACUUGUGUGCCUGAGGACCAGGCCCUCUGGGAACUCUGUCUGGUGCUGUCAAGAGGCCCUGGAUAAAGAUGGCUUGUAUUAGAGCCCCUUCCCCUUAAGCCACAUGAACUUGCCGGGACAGUGUACUCUUCCCAGGCCCCCCAAGGGAAGAAGUUACUCAAGGGCUCCAUUUGGUCCCAACUUGGCAGAAACCCAAGAUUGCCGUAGCAGCAGUAGGGGUCUUGCUGAUGGGGGAGGGACAGGCUCCGUGCUCUAAAGCACUGUCUGUCAUGGCCUCUCUCCAUCUAGAUCAUGGAGGCUCUGGGUCAGGGGAAGAUGAGCAUUCUCCCUGGCCCCAGAAGGGCCUGGCUCUGGCCGAGCCUGUCUCAGUUCCUCAAGUUCCCAGCCAGAGGCUUUAGCAUGUAUUCUGAAGACAUCAGCAUUGUUCAGGCAGCAGAUAAUUUUGAAUACCUGCUAUGGGCCAGGUGUUUGGGAAACCACAGUUGAUAGGACAGGAGAGGCCCCUGUCAGUCUUUGGUCUGGUGGAGGAAGCAGAAAAUUGCACAGAUGAUUCUAACUACCCUUACAAGAAAACCAAAAAUGAAACCCACUACUAUCAAGUCAAUUCCAACUCAUAGCAAUCCUAUAGGACAGAGCAGAACUGCUCCACAGGGUUUCCAAGGAGCGGCUGGGUAGAUUUGAACUGCCAGCCUUAACCACUGUGCCAUCAGGGCUCUGAGGAACCAUUAACUCAGACAAUUGGUCAGGAUAGGCUUCUUGGAAGAAGUGACAUCUAACCAGAGUCUGGAAACAUGAGCAGAAGUCAUCUAGAAGGGAACCUGGGCUAGUGUUCCACUGUGGAGCCAAGAGGGAGGGUGGGGCAUGGAGAAGGUUGGGCUCAGAGGGGCGAGUCGGGGUCAGAUCAUGGAACAUCCUGGAAUGCAUGGUCCCAUUCACUACUGGGUAGUGUUUGGCUUUAUGUUAAAUGAUGUAAAAUCAUGGGGACACAACAGACAGAUAAUCCUGGGGUUGAAUUUCAACCUGCUUUUAUUUAAUAAUUUUUACAUCAUUAAAAUAUUUGCCACUUAUUGGGUUUUUUUUUUUUUAUUGGGUGUCUGCAGGCCAGGUCUCCAUGUUAGGAUAUCCUUUUGGAUUCUCACACAUAGUGGCGCAGGGUUCAAACCCAGGACCACAAGCCCUCAUGCCCCCACCUCCCCUAUACCAUGCCUUCAGCAGCUUUGAGGUCUCAACCUGUACACGUCUCUGAAAAAGAAACCGGAGAUGCUGCAGCCGGCUUGAGGCAGUCCCAGGGCCUGGCAUUUUGAUGUCCUGGAUGCAGCCCAGGGGCUGGUAAAGUUGCAAAACCUGUUUUCAGCAGUUAGCUUGAGAUCUGUCGGCUGAUAAACAGAUUUUCUGUUUUGCAGUCAAGUGCUUGUAAAGGAGAAGAGGCCCUUGGACCUUGGGCAGGCAGGCCAUGCCUCCUUGGUAGUGUGUAACCAUUAGCAGAUCAACUGUGCUAAGACAGCGAAGGACAGUUUAGAGUUUAAAAUGGGUCAGCAAACUAUAGUCCAAGGGCCACAUCUGGCCCCUGCCUGUUUUUGUAAAUAAAGUUUUAUUGGAACACAGCUGCUCCCGUUUAUUUACACUUUGUCUAUGGCUGCUUUCAUCCUGUAAGGGCAGAGUUGAGUAGUUGGGAUAAAGACCAAAUGGCCUGCAAAGCCUCAAAUGUUUAUUGAGGCAGAAAAAGUUGCCUGCAGAGCUUGGAACUUGUUUGCCAACUCGUGAGGUAAAAUAUUGGGGCUGAGCUAUAUGAAGGGAAAUGGAAAUGAUUUGGAAAAAUCUCCAUGGUAUUUCAUUAAGAGGUGAAAGCAAGAUGUAGCUCAGUACAUAUUUCCAUUUUUAGAAACAGCAAAGAAGAAAUAUAUGUGUAAGUAUACAUACAUACAUCUUAUAUACAUAUACGCACUUGUGUAUGGGUAUGUAUUUCUGCAUGCAAUGGAUAGCUCUGGAAAGAUACAUAAGAAAGUGGUAACUGUGGUUGCCUGGAGAAUGGGAGACUUGCUUCUUAGACAGUAUACCUCUACCUGCCUUUUGAUUUUGCACCACUUUCUGUGUUACCCAUUCAAACAAAAUUAGUUCAAAAAGUAUAUUUGAGGCUGAAGAGUUGAGAUAAGGAAGCUGGUGGAAGGCAUGUCUUUUGCUUCAUUUCCUUUAACUUUUUAAGAGAGUUGGAGCUACCACCUUCUUUACAUGGAACCUUUUUAAAUUUGAACGGUAUUCUCAUAACAGCCUCCUUCUGGAAGGAAAGUCCUGUGAGAGAAAUUCAGAAUUGCAGUUGUAUUUAAAUGGAAAUAAAUAUUGAGUUGAACCAUAAAGGCAGAAAGAUUUGGGGCACAGCAGAAAAUGGCUUUUGAUCUAAGUAGCGUGUGAUCCGUGCUUCUAAGCAAGGUGCCCUCCUGGUGCGGGAGCGAGUGUUUUCAUCCUCCUGGUCACCCUUGCUUUCCCUGGAUGAGACAUUGGCCAGAUAAUGAAACAAUGGCACACGCUGCUGGGAACAUACACAGGCGAUGCAAUCUCUAACCCCAGACCUUCUCCAAUAGACCAUGCUCACCCCCGGUGUCCUCCAAGGACAGCUUAAGAUUGUUUCUCCACAGUGUUCCUGGCCUGCUACCCUCCAUGGGCCGUGGACAAGAACAUGGGCUUUGGGGACAAAUUCUGUGAUCCUAAACCAGCCCUGCCUUGCACCAGCUGGGGACAGGUCAUUCAACUUUUCCAAGCCUCUGUCUUAUCUGAAAUGUGGAGACCAUCAUACCCCACCUCACAGAGCUGCUGUGAGGAUUAAAUUAGGGGACCUUCUGGCAGGCUGCACCCAGUGCACAGUAACUGCCCAAUAACGGGGCUUUUGUUGGUAUUCCUGAGGUCUUCACCCCAGUCUUUCUCUAAAGGAGGCUGUUUCUGUAAAGCGCCUGAGAGGGAAUAUUGUCAGAACAUUGUCAGCUUUGCAAGCCAUUCAGUCUCUGUUGCAACUAUUCUGCUGUGUGGUGUGAAAGCAGUCAUAGAUAAUAAGUAAAAGAAUAGGCAUGGCUGUGUUCCAAUAAAACUUUAUUAACAACAACAGGCAGUAUUCCCAGUGGUUUGCCAUCUGUUGCUCCCAGUUGAUCUUGCCUUUUUCUCUAGCUGCAGCAUUGUAAGCUGGGGAUGAGAAUUUUUUUUUUUUUUAAUUAAUUUUCUGUAGAAAGAGGAAGCACCCAGAUAGGCAGGAGUGUGAAGUGGUUAGGGGUGCUAGCCUGGGAACCAGACUGCCAGCCGCCCAACUCUAGCUCCCUCACUUAUCUGCCCUUACCCUCAGCCAGUUAACCUCUGUGUGUGUCAGUUUCCUCGUCUGAAAAAGAAGGUAAUGAUAGUCCCUUCUUCACUGCCUUUUGAGGUUUAAUGAGUUAAUACAUGUAAAGUAGCAAGGCCGUGUCUGGAAUAAAGCAAAGGUGAUGUAAAAUUGUCUUGGACCACCCAGUCACAAGCCACUGUGUCUUAGGACCCUUGUUUGAGUACUGCUGGUCAAGGAGCCGUUCGUUCGUCCAUCCACCAUUUACUAACCCCGUGCUGUAUGGGGGCACCAGGCCCACAGGGGCCCACAGGGCAGCCCACGUCACUGCCCUCAGGGAGCUUGAAGUCUCGUGGGAGAGACAGGACAAACAACUGCAAUGUGUGCCAGGAAGGACGUUUACAAGGAAGGGGCUCAGAUUGUCAGCGAGGGCCCCUUCCUCUGUUGAACCUGACUGGAUUCAUGCUGCCCAAUAAGACUACUGAGGCAGCUUGGAGUCCCACAAGCAAAUUUAUUUUGCCAGCAGCUAGCAAAAGGAGACAGUAAGGGCUAGAACCUUCAGAGAAACUGUCUCAUGGAUUUGCCUACGAGCCAAGUAUUUAAGGGUUUUAACAACCUGGGGAGGAGGGGUUUUGAUGUUUAUUCAUGAGGCUGGGGGAGAAGGGCAGAGAUUUCUGAGAAGGGGUUGGGUUAUGCAAAUCCAGGUACUCACGCAGGAUUUUUUCAAGAUGGAAGUCCUUGGGUUCGCCUUGACAUGACUUAGGGAAUGUGAUGCUGGCACACUGGGUCCCCCUUGUCACAUGGCCUCCUUCGGCUGGCACAGGAAGGACAAACAGUGGUUGCUUGUACUUCUUUUUGCAUACGCUCUGCUCCUGUGGAGUCCUGCAAGACCUACAUUAACAGGUUAAUUGCAACAUUUCAGUUCAUACCACCCCUCAGCUGCACCUCUGUGUGUUCUGUUCUCCAGGGGGUGGGCCAGGUUGUUUAUUCCACUCCCCGUCCUGCUUGUCUUUUUCCCCCACCUAUGUGUUUAGUUUAUGUGUAAGGGGGUGGGGGGAGCCCAACCAGCCUUGCUGUAACCUAGUCCUGUCUCAAGAUCAAGGGCUGAUUGGGGCUGAUCGCACCAGUGAGGUGACUUCUGAAUCCAAGAUGAGCAGGAUUUAGCUAUGUACAGAGUCUUCCUGGUGGGGGAGCAGCAGGUGUGAGGUCUAACCUGCAGCGGGCAGGGCAUGGCAGGUAAGGGCCUGUGAGGAGGUGGCUGCAGUGGGUGGUGAGGGCAGCUGUGCCCAUCAUGCAGGGCUUUGUCAGCAGGUCAUAAAAAGUGUGGGUUUGAUUCCAACUGCAGUGCUGUCUGAAAGCUUGUAAGCAGGAGAGUGUGAUACGAUCACCUAUGAGUUUUUAUAAACCAAACCAGUUGCCGUCAAGUUGAUUCCGACUCACGGCGACUCCAUGUGUAUCAGAGUAGAAACUGCACUCCACAGGGUUUUCAGUGGCUGAUUUUUUGGAAGUAGAUCACCAGGCCUUUGCUCUGCGUCACCUCUGGGUAGUUUCCAACCUCCAGCCUUUCAGUUAGCAGCCAAGCGCAUUAACCGUUUGCACCUGCCAAAGCAGUUCUAGUGGCUGAGAAAACAGAUCAGACGCACUCCAGCCUAUUGAACCUGGUUCCAAACAGCCCAGGCUAGCUCAAGAUGGUUCAAACCAGGCAACACUGAUACGAACUUGGGUUCAUGGCACUCAAGAAAUGAACCCAGUGAAACUGCUCCGUGGGGGUCUUCCAUGGGGAGUUCUGUUCUUUGUGUUUUUUAUUACACAAGAAAUGCAUGAGUAAGUUCUGUUUGAAAAAUUAUGACAGUCUGGGUACACAGAACACCAGCAUCCCUCCCUGCCAGCCGUCUAGUCUCUACGGUUAGAUGCCUGUUGAUGUACACAUACAACGCUUUGUUUGGGCUUUAGUUUUUAAUGAAAGUGGAAUCAUGUGCUGUGUCUUGUUCUGUAGCCUGUUUUUUGUACUUACUCACGGCUUGAAGGUGCUUCUGUGUAAGGAUAUAAUAGGAUUGCUUGUAUACCACCACAUAUUAAUGAGUCUCCUGUGUCUGGGCAUUUAGGUCGUACCCAAGCUUCCAACCAGGCAGAGUGCAAUGUCCUCGGACAUACAUCUCUGUCUGCACGCUCAAUGCAUGCUCAAGUAUUUCUGUAGGAUGGAUGCCUCGAAGCAGAGUUCCUGAGUCAGAGUUCGUGUUUGUAUAUGCGCAUCUUAGUCUCCUAGGGCUGCUGUAACAGAAAUACCACGAAUGGGUGGUUUUAAAGAACAGAAAUUUGUUUUUUCACAGUUCAGGAGGCUAGAUGUCCUGAGAAUUCAGUGUCUGACUCUAGGGAGAGGUCUUUCUUUGUCCAUUUCAGCUUCUUGUAGCUGGCAGAGGAGCCUUGGUGGCACAGUGGUUAAGCGCUCAGCUGCUAACAGAGAGAAGGGUCGGUGGUUCAAACCCACCAUCUACUCUGCAGGAGAAAGAUGAGGCAGUCUACUUCCGCAAAGACUACAACCUUGGAAACCCUACGGGGCAGUUCUACUCUGUCCUACAGGGUUGCUAUGAGUUGGAAUCAACUCAAAAGCAAUGAAUUUGGAUUUGUUGGGGUUUUUUUUUUUUCUUUCUUUUUUUGGUUAGUAGCCAGCAAUCCAUGGAGUUUCUGAGCUUGUAGAUUUAUCAGCCUUCAUAGUCUUCCAGUAGUAUUUGUCUUCCUCGUUUGCUCACUUCUCUUUUUACAUCUCAAAAAUAAUAGGUUUAGGACACACCUUACACUGACGUGGCCUCGUUACCAUAGCACAGAAAACCCUAUUUCCAAAUAGAAUUACAUUCACAGGUAUAGGGGAUGAGGAUGCCAACAUGUAUUUUGGGAGACACAAUUCAAUCCAUAUUUUUUUUAUACACACAUGUAUACACACACCAAACCAAAUCCAUUGCCUUCAAGUCGAUGCCAACUCAUAGCGAUCCUACACUUUAAUUUUCCUAAAAGAUUUUACCAGUUUGUACCUCUGCCAACAAUAUGUGAGCAUCGUUUCUCAGCAUUCCCCCCAAAGCUUGAUAACAGCCAUCUUUUAAUUUUUCCAGUUCACAUUCCUUCAAGUUUCGUUUUCCUGGUGACUGAUGAGGGCGCACAUUUUGGAUGGGCUGUAUCCCCUCUAGAGCGCUCUCAUUCAUUCAUUCCACAAAUCUGUACUGACCACCUGCUCUGUGUCCCACACUCUGCUGGGUGCUAGGGUUACAGCGUGAGCGAGAACAACAUAGGCAUAAGAUGGACAGCGUGUUAGAUCAUGCGAAGGGGAAAGCAGGAGCAGGUAGGGGAGGCAGGAAGUAAAAGGGAGCAAGGAAAGCCUCUGUGAAAAUGCACCAGGUGAUGGAGACCUGGGCAGGAGGGAGAGCACCCUGCAGUGCCUUUCUUGGUUGGGGGUGAAGAGAACAGUAACUGCAAGGGCUCCAGGGCCUGUGAGGAGCAGCAAGGCUGGAGCACAGUGAGCGGGGGAAACAGGUCGGAAUGGUAAGAGGGCCUGUAGAUUAUCAUAGGGGCUUUGCUGGGAGAAAGGUGGAGAGAUGGGAGGGCUUGGAACAAAGAGGACACACUCUAUUUUCUGUUGGCCGCUCCAGCUGCUGCACUGACGUUAGACAGUAGGCGGUGAGGUGGAUAUGGAAGAGCAGGUGGGAGGCUCUGGGAGUAAUUCAGGAGAGAUGAUGGUGGCUUGGACCAAAUCGUCACCUCCCUGAGAGCAGGGACUCUGUCUCCUUCCUCCACAUGGGUUUCCAUGAUUUCACCUUCCCCAUGUGUGACGCAGAAACAGCUCUGGCAGUUCCAGAUCUGAGGGAGGGGACGCAGUUAGAACCUAGGGACAGAGUUCUCAGAGGAAGUGUGAGCCAUGCUAGAAGUGGCCAAAACUAAGCUCAGAAGCAGGGGAACAGAACAGACAUUGACCCCCCCACCCGAUGCUGGGCCUUGUCCUAGCAUUGUCCUUGUCACAAAACCUGCCAGGCACACCCUGUGGUCCCCUUUACAGGUGAGGACUCUGAGUCCCAGGGAGUAUCAGAGACUUCCCCAAAGGACCCCACUGGUAAGCGACAGAGCCAGGAGUUGUCCAAGACUUUCUGCCUCAGAGCCCCUGCCCUUUGUACAGGGAGGGCAUGAGGGUGCCAUCUACUGGGAGCCCCAUCUCUGUCCAUUUUCUACCCAGCUCAUUCUUAUCAGGGUCUCUUCAGCCCCACAAAGGAUCGUAGGUACUCAUCCAUGCUGAAAAAGUGUUGUUAUUUGCAGCCAAGUUGGCAUGAUCGCUGGUAUGUUUGAGUCCAUUGGUGCAGCUGUUGUGGUGAGUCAUCUCAUUAAGGAUGUCCCCGGUUUUCAUUGCCCCUCCGCUUAACCAAAUAUGAUGUCCUUUUCUAGCACAUGGUCUUUGCUGAUGACGUGUCCAAAGUAAGCAAGACAAAGUCUUGCCAUCCUCGCUUUUGGGAGCAUUUUGGUUGUAUUUCUUCGAAGACUGGCUUGUUUGUUCUUUUGGCUGUCCAUGGUAUAUGGACAGAAAAAGUAGGAAUUUAAAAAUAUGCCUUUUUGCAGCCAAGUUUUUGAGAUUGGGAUACAAUUAAUAUGCCCUUUUUAGCAUCCAGUUCCAGGGGUUUUGAUAAAUGCACAGAGUUGUGUAACCACUACCACAACCAAGAUAAAGAACAUUCCAUGACCCCUUGGUAGCCCAGAUUGUUCUCUGCCCAUAGGUAUUGUUGCCCCUUUUUCUAGGAUAUCACAUGAAUGGAGUCAGAUGGGUGUAGCCUUUGAGUCGGGCUUCUUUCACGUAGCACACUGCCUUCAAGAUGCAUCCAUGUUGCCAAGAACAUACAUUUUGAAAAAGAGAACAUUGCUGUGACCCAGCGUUUUGAGGUGGUAAGCGAACUGGUGGCAAUACAUAAGAAAAGUUUUUUUAAUUUUUAAAAAUACUUUAAAGCCAAAUUUGAGGAUAUUUUGGCAUAGGACAAGGCUAACCUAAAAAUAAAGGUAUUUACAGAAAAAUCUUAAAUACUAUAUAGGAGAUACACAGAUAUGGGGGAAACCCAGAGGGGCUCAAGGAAGAGAAAGACAGAGGCUGCGAAACAUCACUGCAACGUUCUAAUCACAGCCCAAGCUGGGUGACCUUGGACCUCUGUGAAGGUCACUUCCUGUGAUGGAGUGCUGUGAUUCUGAGACUCACACUCUGAAAGUGGCCUCCCCCUUGACCCCUGAUGCUGAGCACCAGAGACGCUUCGAGGUCAUGUGGACCAUUGGUUCUGAAAGUCCAGUUUGGUCUGGAGCCAACCAACCCAGAGAGAGUGUUCCCCAUGUGAGGGACAGGAUGGCAAUGCAGGAAGAACUCAGAAACCUAAAGAACCAUCUUUAUUCUGCAACCGUGUCCUUGACUGUAACUAUGACAAGGUCAGUCUCAGUGACAGUGGUUGGACCACGUGCUAUGUCCUGCUUUGGCAGAUGUCACAGCCUGUGAUGGUUGGUAGUGCUGCUGGCCUGUGGAGCAGGCCUAGUGAUGGGGAGCUGCCCUGAGUCUGACAGAUGGUGAGUGGUGUUGUCACCGAGAAGGCAAGUUGUCUCUCAGAGCAGGUUGAGAGGGGCUGCGCCCUGGGGAAGGGUGUUAGUGGAACAUGUGGGCUACUUUCGUAGGUGUCACCUCACAGACACUAGAGCGUGUUCUGUACCACUGCACGGGCUCCUCAUCCACACAUGGCCCUGCAGACGUGCAGCCCUAGGCACCACGGCCUGUCUUUCUCCCCUGGGAACCUUGGCCCUUCUGCCUGCCUUGGGUGCCUUCCUCCCCUCUGUAUUUGACUGAGCCUUAGUCACCUGUCAGGAUAGCCUGGACACCUCCUCCAGGCAGCCCUCUGGAACCCUCUUCCCCUCCUCUCGGGGCUGGGCAACGACCUCUGGGCCCAGCUGGCUCCAGUGCUGUGUAUGUGAUGGCUUAGCCACUCAUCCCCCCCAUACAGUCCUGGGCUGAGCAAUUUGAAGGUCCUUAGUCUUUAUUCCCCAGAGCCUGGCACAGGGCCUGCCCCCAGCUAAGGGGAAACAUUAUCAUCUUGGACAUUUAUACAAGGAUCAAGGUUUUUCCCUCCUUUGUUAGUGGACAUGUCUUAAGCAAAGCACCUGUUUGCUUACUGACUUUUCUGUCUUCAAGCUGUUUGAAAACAGCCCUGCUGAUCACCCACCCCUCUCCUGUCUCUAUAGUCUUCUAGGGCCCCUGGGUGGCACAAAUAGUUAACACUCUCAGGUACUAACUGAAAGGUGGGAGUUCACCCAGAGGAACCUCAGAAGAAAGAAAGGCCUGGUGAUCUGCUUCCAAAAAAUCAGCCAUUGAAAACCCCAUGGAGCACGUUUUUAUUCAGACACACAUGGGGUGCCAUGAGUUGGAGGCUACUCCCCAGCAACUAUUAGGAUAAGACUCGAGACCACCUCUGAUGGAUCAAGGUCAGGUGGCCCAGGAUCUGCAAAUCCAAGAUGCUGACCUUACUCCAGGAGACUAAGAUGGUCUCUGUAGGCAAGUUUCCUUCUGCCAGUGCCCAGCCCCACUUCCCCAGGACAGGCAGGUUUAGGGAUCUGAGGGGUUGUGGUAGGGAGAGGAGGUUUGGAAGUUAGUGUGUUUUUGUAGUUUGUAAAAUUGUUAUAAAAGCCUCCAACUAGUUCCCAGGGAAGACCUUUAACAACAUGGACUGACACAGCAGCUGCAACAAUGGGCUCAAGCAUAGCAACGAUUGUGAGGAUGGCGCAGGACCAGGCAGUGUUUCCUUCCGUUGUACGUGGGGUCACUGUGAGUCAGAACCAACUCAAUGGCACCUAACAACAGUUCCCGUGGUAUUCAAAUGCCUCUACCAGUAAAAGUUCCUAAGGUCUUGCCUUCCAGACAUUCUGUGCGUCUCACAUUCUUAUUGCUGUUGUCUCAGGACCUCACAUUCUUAUUGCUGUUGUCUCAGGACCUCGAAAGAGCUCAGUCUAUGCCUGAUCCUAACAGACCCAGUACACAGGUGUUGAAUAAUGUGAGAAUGGUUGGCAGGACUGGUACUAGCCCCAUUUCACAGAUCACUGAGGCUAGGGUAGGCUAUAUAUCUUCCUCCAAGGUCCUACAGUAUCUGACUGAAGGACCCCACGUUUUCUGACUCAGAAUGUGAAAGUUUCUUAGCAUGCAUGCCUUUGGAGCUCCAUUCGUAUGCGGGACAGCUUUCUGCCAACCAGACCCCCCUCCCUUCCUUGCCUGCAAGAUUAGGGCAGACAUAGUAUCUAACUAACACGGAGCCAGCAUUUAGGACUGUGAUGUAAUCUGACCUUGCUCAGUGUCCUUCUCUUCCCUAGGCCCAGAGCCACCGGACCUCUUUGUUACAUACAUGCCAGAGACCAGACAGAGCUUGGCCUGAUUGCUGUCAAUCAAGCUGGCUAAGAAAUGGUGCUGUCAUUCCUACAGUCUCGCCGGCACACGAGGCAGGGAGUCAGUGCUAACGAGGGCUCUGAGGGAUGAGGAUUCAUCUGAGGGCACAGACACGCCAUGGGCUCAGGGUGCCUGGGUUAAAAACCGAUGGCCCUUACUUAAGGAUGUCACUGUAAACAGAGGCCCCCUGGAAGCUGCCUGCGCGCAGCAGCGGGGCUCUGCUGACGGACGUGAGUCUGGGCGGGAAUGUGGUGCUGCCCACGUGUCCCUCCUACAGGGAUGGACCGCAGGCAGACAUAUGUGUCUCGUUCCCUUUAGGGGUAGGCCCUUCCUCUUUCUCCAUGUACCUCCAAACCCCAUCUGUUCCCAUAUUUACAGACUCACAAUCCAGUCCACUCCUGCCUUCCAAUACAGCUAUUGUUGUUGUUAGCUUCCUUUGACUCAUGGCCAGCCCUUGCGUGAGGGAACGAAACCCCGACUGGUACUGCACUACCCCCACGAUUGGUUGCAGACAGAACCAUGGUAAUCCAUAGAGUUUUCAUUGGCUGAUUUUCAGAAAUCAGCCUUUCUUCCUAGGCCAUCUUAGCCUGGAAUCUCUGCUGAAACCUGGUCACAUCAUAGCAACAAGCGUGCAUCCACUGACAGACGUGCACAUGAGGUACACUGACCAGGAACUAAACCCAGGUCUUCUGUAAGGAAGGCAAGAACUCUACCAUUGCACCACCACUGCCCUAGUACUACUGUUAAACUAAGUCCAUUGCCACUGAGCGGAUUCCCACUCGUGGCGGCGCCAUGUGUUAUGGACUGGGACUGCUCCAUAGGUUUUCUUGGCCGCCAUCUUCAGAGGCAGGUCAUCAGACCCUUCUGCAGCACUGCUGGGUGAGUUCGAACCACCAACCUUUAGGUGAGUAGCUCUGUUUGCACCUCCCAGGGACCUUGAAACUACUGUUAGACCAUACAAAAUUGGUACCAUCAUACUGUUAGAUGGAGUUCAACUCUAUAUAUGCCUAGGACCCCCACUCCGUUCGCUCCAGCUCAGCUCUGUCAGUGGAACCCAGACCUUUUCAUCCAGCUGUCUUUCUAUCCACCCAUCCAUCAGGAGGCAAAGGAGCUGGGCCAGGUCUGCCAGCUCCAAGCCUACGCCUGUCGCCACUGCUCCAUUCUGCCUUCACACACGCUAUUCUUUCAUCCUAGAAGGCUCUUCUCACACCAAGCCAUCCAGCUCAUUCUUCAUUGCUCCCUUCCUCCAGGAAGCUCCUCUGCCCACCUGACGUUCACCCCCAUUGAAGCAUCCACCAGGCUCCAUUGUAGUGAUCUGCUGAGGUCUGCCUUGCCCUCCCCAAUGAGACUGAGCUCUUCAAACUCCUACUAGGCUGUGUGCCCCCUGCUGCCUAGCAUGAUAUUUGGGGACAAAGCUCACAUUUUUUGAGUAGUUACUCCUGGCCAGACAUUGUCCUAGUACUGAUCCAGGUAAUGCCUACCACAACCCUGCCUUUAUUAUGUCCCAGAAACCAAGGCACAAAGAGGACGAAUAACUUGCCUAAGGAAACACAGCUAGGUAGUAGCUUUAUAUAGAGUUCACAAAUAUUUACAACAGCAGUGGGAGGUACACAGGAUCCUUGUCCCACCUGACAGAUGAGUAAGCCAAGGCUCAAACAGGAAGGUGCACGGCCCAUGGGUGUCAAGACUGAGCGUAAGCAGCCUGGCUCAGAGCCCUCCCCCACCCCGACACUGGGCUGCCUGGUUACACAGUAAACUAAAAUCAAACCAAUUUUUCGCAGAGUCAGCCUUAACUCAUGGUGACCCCACAUGUUUCAGAGUAGAAUUGUGCUCCAUAGGGUUUUUAAUGACUGAUUUUGGGUUUUUUGUUUUUUUUUUUGUACUUUAGAUGAAGGUUUACAAAACUAGCUUCUCAUUAAACAAUUAGUACACAUAUUGUUUUGUGACAUUAGCUACCAACCCCAUGACGUGUCAGCACUCCCCUUCUCGACCUUGGGUUCCCUACUACCACCUUUCCUGUCCCCUCCUGCCUUCUUGUCCUUGCCCCAGGGCUGGUGCGCUCCUUUAGUCUCAUUUUGUUUUUUGGGCCUGUCUAAUCUUUGGCUGAAGGGUAAACCUCAGGAGUGACUUCAUUACUGAGGUAAAAGGGUGUCCAGGGGCCAUACUUUCAGGGUUUCUCUAGUCUGUCAAGCCAGUAAGUCUGGUCUUUAUUUAUGAGUUAGAAUUUUGUUCUACAUUCUUCUCCAGCUCUGUCGGGGACCCUCUAUUGUGAUCCCUGUCAGAGCAGUCAGUGGUGGUAGCCAGGCACCAUCUAGUUGUACUGAACUCAGUCUGUGAAGGCUGUGGCAGUUGUGGUCCAUUUGUCGUUUGGACUGAUCUUUCCCUUGUGUCUUCGGUCUUUAAUCUCCCUUGCUCCUGAAGGGGCGAGACCAGUGGAGUAUCUUAGAUGGCUGUUCACAAGACCCAGACACUACUCACCAAGGUAGAAUAUAGACCAUUUUCUUUAUAAAGUGUUAUGCCAAUUGAGCUAGAUGUUCCCCAAGACCAUGGUCCCCACAGCGAUGGCUGAUUUUUCAGUGGUCCAUCACCAGGCUUUCUUCUGAGGCCCCUCUGGUUGGACUCAAACCUUCAACCUUUUGGUUAGCAGUGAGCACAUUAACCGUUUGUACCACAGGGGCUCCUGCCCUGUACAGUAGGUGCCAUUUGUUGACAACACAAUGCAGUGGCCAGCAUCCUGGCCCACGCUCCUCCUCACUCUCCCUCACACAAGGCUGUGGCCUUUACCAGGCCCUCCCAAGAGCCAGUCACCUCCGUGGCCCUUAGCAGACUGUAGUCAUUAGGGGGCCUCAUCCCGGCCUUUCAAGUCACUCCUAGUGAUGGUGGUAGCUGCAGGUUUGGGGGCGGCUGGUUGGGCCCUGGGUCCUGAACCAUGUAAGUGGAGAGGUUGUGAGGACAUUGGUUUUUCUAAAUAACAUUUCCAUCCAAGCCUGCCUGUACAGCUGGAGUCACCAGUCCCCCUUAGGGUACAAGCAGAGAUCUCUCUGAGGGUGUCAGGGGUAGCAGGCUCUUUGGUAGCACAGGCCUUUGGAAAGAAGAGGGGGACUUGCUUGCUUUGGGGCAGCAGCCAGGUGUCAGCUGCAAGGAGGAACGCAUGGCAAAGGGGGUCGCAUUCUGUAGAAAUCAUUCAGAGCAGCUCCUGCUCUGCUGAAGGUCAGUCGCUCCAUCUUCCUCCACACACAGCAGGCAAAACAAGGCCUGACUUCCAAGGGGAAGGUAAUCAUUAAGAGGGAUUUUUUUCAUUUUAUUAUCUCAUCAGGAUGUCAUCCUAAACUUGAACUGAGGGCAUCACCCUGAGCACAAUAGCUGAGUCUCCGAAAAGGUGUGCACAGCCUGAUCGUUGGACACGAAGCUGCUCUUGACGCACAUCAAGGGAUUCAGUUAUUUCAAGGAUCCCUGCUGUGGAACAGUGACCAUCUCUUUCUUUCCCCAGCACCCCUCCCCCGUUGGCUCCAUCCAUAAUGUCUAGGCAGCUGACUCAGUUUACUGGCCAGCACGUUAUUUAUCUGCCUCUGGAAAUGAACUCUAUGGGGCAGUUCUACCCUGUCCUCUAUCACUAUGAUUUGGAAUUAAUUGACUUGACAGCAAUGGUUUGGUUUGGAAAUGAAGUAUAUGUUUGACUUCGACCUACCCACUUGAGACUUAUAUCCCGCUCAGCUCUUUUUUUUUUUUUUUUGGUAGAACGUAUACUUUUAAAAUGUACAAUUUAGUGACAUGAAUUACAUUCACCAUGUUGUGCAAACAUCUGCACUAUUUCCAAACUAUCCCAUGAUCCUUAAGUAGUAACUCUUUAUUCCGCUCUCUCCCUCGGUAACCACUGAUAAACUUUGGUCUCUAUACACUUGCCUAUUCUAGACUUUCCAUCUAAGCGGGAUCAUACAACAGUCGUCCUUUUGUGUCUGACUGAUUUCACUCAUCGUAACGUUUUCAGUGUUCUUUGAUGUCAUAUCGUGUGUGAGGAUUUCUUUUUGAACAUAAAUCAUCUCGUUUUGUAAGAUCGGACUUCAGGACAACCGUGGUAGUAAGAGGGUCUUUGCAGAUGUGAUUAAGUUAUGGAUCUUGAGAUGGGGAGAUGAUCCUGGAUUAUCUUGGGCCCAAUGUCAUCACAAGGGUCCUUACUUAUAAGAAGUCAGAAGGGUUCAAGUCAGAGAGGGAUUGAAAAAUGCUAUUUUGCUGGCUUUGUAGAUAGAACAAGGGGCCAUGAGCCAAGGAAGACAAGCAGCUUCUAGAAUCUGAAAAAGGCAAGGGAAUGGAGCCUUCAGCCCUGCUAACACCUUGACUUUAGCCCUUUAAACCUGUUUCAAACUCUGACCUCCAGACCUGUAGGAUAAUAAAAAAAACUAAGACAAAGCCACCCACUCUGAGUUCACAACCACAGGCUCUGUGAGUGCCCCGGGGCCUGGAGGCCCCGACUCAGCCCCCUCCAGCCCACUCUCCACAUGACGGGCAAGCAGGGGUCACUUAACAGUGCAGCUGAGUCACAGGGCAUCCUUGUGCUCUCAGGGUCUACCAUGCAGGCCCUGCCCUGUUCUCAGGUGAGCCCAGGGCCUCCUGACCCAGACCUCACCCAUGCUGUUCCCUGGCCACCUCCUGCCAGCCCUCAGCAUCAGCCUGGCGCUUGCUUCUCGGGACGCACCAGCUGCAUUUGUAACCUCAGUCUUUGUAGAGCACAUGCGCGGACCAAGGGCGGGUUUCUCUUUCGUUCACUGAUGUAUCCCCAAGGCCCAGAACCGUGCUUGGCCCUUGAGAAACACUUAUGAAGUGAAUGAAUGAAAGAACAUUUUCUCAUUCUUUCUGUGCACAGUGGGCUAUGCUCUACCUGUUUUGUUAUAACCUGUGUUCUCAUAGUGUUUCUAGAACGCUUUUCCAGGUCAGUAAUGUGCACCUGCCUCCCUGUCUCCAGUGGCCGUACCAUCCUGUCAUGUAAAGUUUCCUAACCAGUAUCAGUAGCCCCCUCUUCUUGGACUAUUUUGGUUGUUCCCUACUUUGGGCUAUUUUAUACAAUGCUGUGAUGAACAUCCUUAUAAUUAGACUCUGGCAAGCCCCCUAAUUAUUCUCUUAGGAGAAAUUCCACAAGAAAUCCCCAUCCUGUGGUUUAUGACCAUAACUGUAAUGUUCUCAAAGCAUUUUCUCUUCUUUGAACUGUGCCUUGUCUGGAGGAUCAUUGCAAGGUGGAGAAGCAGCCAUGGCUAGAACGGUCUUCCUGUCCCACGAAAAUAGUGUCCAGAACUGGUGGUCCCAUGAGCUGGAUUGGACACACAGCUGUGUGGGUGGGCCUUUACAGUGCUUUUAAAAGAUGGAAAUUUUACAUAGAAAGAUGGAUUUUCCGUUUCUCCAAGUAGCACUCACCAAUCAUCACUGAGUUGCAGCUGUCCCCUAUAACCGUGACCAUUCUGGUCUCAC